AACGAACGCUGGCGGCAUGCCUAACACAUGCAAGUCGAACGAGACCUUCGGGUCUAGUGGCGCACGGGUGCGUAACGCGUGGGAACCUGCCCUUAGGUUCGGAAUAACUCCCCGAAAGGGGUGCUAAUACCGGUUAAUGUCUUCGGACCAAAGAUUUAUCGCCUUUGGAUGGGCCCGCGUUGGAUUAGCUGGUUGGUAGGGUAAAAGCCUACCAAGGCCACGAUCCAUAGCUGGUCUGAGAGGAUGAUCAGCCACACUGGGACUGAGACACGGCCCAGACUCCUACGGGAAGCAGCAGUGGGGAAUAUUGGACAAUGGGCGAAAGCCUGAUCAAGCAAGGCCGCGUGAGUGAUGAAGGCCUGAGGGUUGUAAAGCUCUUUUACCCGGGAUGAUAAUGACAGUACCGGGAGAAUAAGCUCCGGCUAACUCCGUG
Molecule: ribosomal RNA, 433 nt
Filed under: uncultured bacterium
Lineage: Bacteria
Description: partial 16S ribosomal RNA
Rfam family: Bacterial small subunit ribosomal RNA
Source: RNAcentral